CAGCCGCCACGGGAAUACGGAGGGUGCAAGCGUUAAUCGGAAUUACUGGGCGUAAAGCGCACGCAGGCGGUCUGACAAGUCAGAUGUGAAAUCCCCGGGCUUAACCUGGGAACUGCAUUUGAAACUGUCAGGCUGGAGUCUUGUAGAGGGGGGUAGAAUUCCAGGUGUAGCGGUGAAAUGCGUAGAGAUCUGGAGGAAUACCGGUGGCGAAGGCGGCCCCCUGGACAAAGACUGACGCUCAGGUGCGAAAGCGUGGGGAGCAAACAGGAUUAGAGACCCCAGUAGUCCCUGUCUCUUAUAA
This 301-nucleotide ribosomal RNA is filed under the name uncultured bacterium. Its description in RNAcentral is "partial 16S ribosomal RNA". It matches the Rfam family "Bacterial small subunit ribosomal RNA", at positions 509 to 809 of the family's 1533-position model. The record is from RNAcentral.